AGGACGAACGCUGGCGGCGUGCUUAACACAUGCAAGUCGAGCGGAAAGGCCCUUCGGGGUACUCGAGCGGCGAACGGGUGAGUAACACGUGGGUUACCUGCCUCGAUGACCGGGACAACCCGAGGAAACUCGGGCUAAUACCGGAUGUGCCCGCAAGGGGAAAGGAAGCUUCGGCCUCCGCAUCGAGAUGGGCCCGCGGCCCAUUAGCUUGUUGGUGAGGUAACGGCUCACCAAGGCUUCGAUGGGUAGCUGGUCUGAGAGGACGAUCAGCCACACUGGGACUGAGACACGGCCCAGACUCCUACGGGAGGCAGCAGUGGGGAAUCUUGGACAAUGGGCGCAAGCCUGAUCCAGCCAUGCCGCGUGAGUGAUGAAGGCCCUAGGGUUGUAAAGCUCGUUUCGGCGGGGACGAUAAUGACGGUACCCGCAGAAGAAGCCCGGCUAACUUCGUGCCAGCAGCCGC
RNAcentral lists this ribosomal RNA (463 nucleotides) under uncultured bacterium. RNAcentral's name for it is "SSU rRNA". It matches the Rfam family "Bacterial small subunit ribosomal RNA", at positions 26 to 518 of the family's 1533-position model. The record is from RNAcentral.